AGUGAACGCUGGCGGUAGGCCUAACACAUGCAAGUCGAACGGCAGCACAGUAAGAGCUUGCUCUUACGGGUGGCGAGUGGCGGACGGGUGAGGAAUACAUCGGAAUCUACUUUUUCGUGGGGGAUAACGUAGGGAAACUUACGCUAAUACCGCAUACGACCUACGGGUGAAAGCAGGGGAUCUUCGGACCUUGCGCGAUUGAAUGAGCCGAUGUCGGAUUAGCUAGUUGGCGGGGUAAAGGCCCACCAAGGCGACGAUCCGUAGCUGGUCUGAGGGGAUGAUCAGCCACACCGGAACUGAGACACGGUCCAGACUCCUACGGGAGGCAGCAGUGGGGAAUAUUGGACAAUGGGCGCAAGCCUGAUCCAGCCAUACCGCGUGGGUGAAGAAGGCCUUCGGGUUGUAAAGCCCUUUUGUUGGGAAAGAAAAGCAGCAGGUUAAUACCCCGCUGUUCUGACGGUACCCAAAGAAUAAGCACCGGCUAACUUCGUG
This 492-nucleotide ribosomal RNA is filed under the name uncultured bacterium. RNAcentral's name for it is "partial 16S ribosomal RNA". It matches the Rfam family "Bacterial small subunit ribosomal RNA", at positions 29 to 507 of the family's 1533-position model. The record is from RNAcentral.